Molecule: ribosomal RNA, 2902 nt
Filed under: Escherichia coli
Lineage: Bacteria; Pseudomonadati; Pseudomonadota; Gammaproteobacteria; Enterobacterales; Enterobacteriaceae
Description: 23S ribosomal RNA
Rfam family: Bacterial large subunit ribosomal RNA
Source: RNAcentral
UUAAGCGACUAAGCGUACACGGUGGAUGCCCUGGCAGUCAGAGGCGAUGAAGGACGUGCUAAUCUGCGAUAAGCGUCGGUAAGGUGAUAUGAACCGUUAUAACCGGCGAUUUCCGAAUGGGGAAACCCAGUGUGAUUCGUCACACUAUCAUUAACUGAAUCCAUAGGUUAAUGAGGCGAACCGGGGGAACUGAAACAUCUAAGUACCCCGAGGAAAAGAAAUCAACCGAGAUUCCCCCAGUAGCGGCGAGCGAACGGGGAGCAGCCCAGAGCCUGAAUCAGUGUGUGUGUUAGUGGAAGCGUCUGGAAAGGCGCGCGAUACAGGGUGACAGCCCCGUACACAAAAAUGCACAUACUGUGAGCUCGAUGAGUAGGGCGGGACACGUGGUAUCCUGUCUGAAUAUGGGGGGACCAUCCUCCAAGGCUAAAUACUCCUGACUGACCGAUAGUGAACCAGUACCGUGAGGGAAAGGCGAAAAGAACCCCGGCGAGGGGAGUGAAAAAGAACCUGAAACCGUGUACGUACAAGCAGUGGGAGCCUCUUAAUGGGGUGACUGCGUACCUUUUGUAUAAUGGGUCAGCGACUUAUAUUCUGUAGCAAGGUUAACCGAAUAGGGGAGCCGAAGGGAAACCGAGUCUUAACUGGGCGUUAAGUUGCAGGGUAUAGACCCGAAACCCGGUGAUCUAGCCAUGGGCAGGUUGAAGGUUGGGUAACACUAACUGGAGGACCGAACCGACUAAUGUUGAAAAAUUAGCGGAUGACUUGUGGCUGGGGGUGAAAGGCCAAUCAAACCGGGAGAUAGCUGGUUCUCCCCGAAAGCUAUUUAGGUAGCGCCUCGUGAAUUCAUCUCCGGGGGUAGAGCACUGUUUCGGCAAGGGGGUCAUCCCGACUUACCAACCCGAUGCAAACUGCGAAUACCGGAGAAUGUUAUCACGGGAGACACACGGCGGGUGCUAACGUCCGUCGUGAAGAGGGAAACAACCCAGACCGCCAGCUAAGGUCCCAAAGUCAUGGUUAAGUGGGAAACGAUGUGGGAAGGCCCAGACAGCCAGGAUGUUGGCUUAGAAGCAGCCAUCAUUUAAAGAAAGCGUAAUAGCUCACUGGUCGAGUCGGCCUGCGCGGAAGAUGUAACGGGGCUAAACCAUGCACCGAAGCUGCGGCAGCGACGCUUAUGCGUUGUUGGGUAGGGGAGCGUUCUGUAAGCCUGCGAAGGUGUGCUGUGAGGCAUGCUGGAGGUAUCAGAAGUGCGAAUGCUGACAUAAGUAACGAUAAAGCGGGUGAAAAGCCCGCUCGCCGGAAGACCAAGGGUUCCUGUCCAACGUUAAUCGGGGCAGGGUGAGUCGACCCCUAAGGCGAGGCCGAAAGGCGUAGUCGAUGGGAAACAGGUUAAUAUUCCUGUACUUGGUGUUACUGCGAAGGGGGGACGGAGAAGGCUAUGUUGGCCGGGCGACGGUUGUCCCGGUUUAAGCGUGUAGGCUGGUUUUCCAGGCAAAUCCGGAAAAUCAAGGCUGAGGCGUGAUGACGAGGCACUACGGUGCUGAAGCAACAAAUGCCCUGCUUCCAGGAAAAGCCUCUAAGCAUCAGGUAACAUCAAAUCGUACCCCAAACCGACACAGGUGGUCAGGUAGAGAAUACCAAGGCGCUUGAGAGAACUCGGGUGAAGGAACUAGGCAAAAUGGUGCCGUAACUUCGGGAGAAGGCACGCUGAUAUGUAGGUGAAGUCCCUUGCGGAUGGAGCUGAAAUCAGUCGAAGAUACCAGCUGGCUGCAACUGUUUAUUAAAAACACAGCACUGUGCAAACACGAAAGUGGACGUAUACGGUGUGACGCCUGCCCGGUGCCGGAAGGUUAAUUGAUGGGGUUAGCGGUAACGCGAAGCUCUUGAUCGAAGCCCCGGUAAACGGCGGCCGUAACUAUAACGGUCCUAAGGUAGCGAAAUUCCUUGUCGGGUAAGUUCCGACCUGCACGAAUGGCGUAAUGAUGGCCAGGCUGUCUCCACCCGAGACUCAGUGAAAUUGAACUCGCUGUGAAGAUGCAGUGUACCCGCGGCAAGACGGAAAGACCCCGUGAACCUUUACUAUAGCUUGACACUGAACAUUGAGCCUUGAUGUGUAGGAUAGGUGGGAGGCUUUGAAGUGUGGACGCCAGUCUGCAUGGAGCCGACCUUGAAAUACCACCCUUUAAUGUUUGAUGUUCUAACGUUGGCCCCUAAUCGGGGUUGCGGACAGUGUCUGGUGGGUAGUUUGACUGGGGCGGUCUCCUCCUAAAGAGUAACGGAGGAGCACGAAGGUUGGCUAAUCCUGGUCGGACAUCAGGAGGUUAGUGCAAUGGCAUAAGCCAGCUUGACUGCGAGCGUGACGGCGCGAGCAGGUGCGAAAGCAGGUCAUAGUGAUCCGGUGGUUCUGAAUGGAAGGGCCAUCGCUCAACGGAUAAAAGGUACUCCGGGGAUAACAGGCUGAUACCGCCCAAGAGUUCAUAUCGACGGCGGUGUUUGGCACCUCGAUGUCGGCUCAUCACAUCCUGGGGCUGAAGUAGGUCCCAAGGGUAUGGCUGUUCGCCAUUUAAAGUGGUACGCGAGCUGGGUUUAGAACGUCGUGAGACAGUUCGGUCCCUAUCUGCCGUGGGCGCUGGAGAACUGAGGGGGGCUGCUCCUAGUACGAGAGGACCGGAGUGGACGCAUCACUGGUGUUCGGGUUGUCAUGCCAAUGGCACUGCCCGGUAGCUAAAUGCGGAAGAGAUAAGUGCUGAAAGCAUCUAAGCACGAAACUUGCCCCGAGAUGAGUUCUCCCUGACUCCCUGAGAGUCCUGAAGGAACGUUGAAGACGACGACGUUGAUAGGCCGGGUGUGUAAGCGCAGCGAUGCGUUGAGCUAACCGGUACUAAUGAACCGUGAGGCUUAACCU